GAGCGCCUCCUGCGCCGCGACUUCUCCAACUUCUCGGCCUGGCACCAACGCCUGCGGCUCCUGCGCGGCGCCGGCGGCAUCGACCCGGAGCGUCUGCACCGCGAGCUGGAGCUGGUCCGGAACGCCGCCUUCACCGACCCCCAUGACCAGAGCGCCUGGAUCUACCUGCGCUGUGCCCUGUCCCAGGCCUUGCCCCCCCCCCGCCUCCUCUCCC
Molecule: long non-coding RNA, 214 nt
Organism: Pezoporus flaviventris
Lineage: Eukaryota; Metazoa; Chordata; Aves; Psittaciformes; Psittacidae
Exons: 3
Source: RefSeq, a predicted model, not a curated record